Molecule: unclassified non-coding RNA, 3234 nt
Filed under: Penaeus chinensis
Lineage: Eukaryota; Metazoa; Arthropoda; Malacostraca; Decapoda; Penaeidae
Description: uncharacterized LOC125034732, transcript variant X1
Source: RNAcentral
CCAAAUAUUUUUCGCGAAAUUACUAUGACGUUUGACAAAGGCCUACGAAGUAACACACAAUAUUCCAACAAUAAACGGAAGCUGUAGACGUAAGAAGAAAAAGGACCUAUGGAAAGAAGCCAGGAGACAUAGAUGACAAAAUUUUAAAGCCACAUAAAAGAAGAAAAUGAUAUAAGGACGUUUUGAGUUCGGGAUUGUAUAGAGAGAGACAGUUUUAUGUCGUAGGAUAUUAAGUAGGGAUGUCGCAACAUGCGGGUGUUCCUCUGCCCUUACAGUCAUCUAGCAGUUUAGCCAGCCUGUGCCAGGUGGCACUUGAAAAGUUGCUGCUGCAGGCAUUUUGCUUACUCGGCAAGUUGGAGGCCAAAUCAAAGCCCAUGCGCCAUGUACCGGAGAAUGGGGUGGUGUCCUUCCUGUGCCAGAAAGAGCGUGAUGCACCACUCGCUGAAAUUCAGGCAUACCUGUCAUCCAAAAUGCCUACCAGCUGCAGACAGGGAAUGGACAACAAUAUGUUAAAUACACUUGCAACUCCAAGAUUUGACAAGAACUCAUUGAUAAGUAACACUGAGUUUAAAUUCCAAAUCCUGAAUAUAGUUGUAGGUGCUUCUGAAAUGAAGCAGGUAUUAAAGAAGCUCUUCCAAUGUAUGUUGUUAGGAUAUGUGACUAGUCUAGACUGUAGUGGCUUUUGUAGUUAUGGGAGUUACUGGGUUGUUAGAGCAAAGAGAAUCCUAUAUACAUGGGAUAAGAUACAUGGAGGAGGGGAAUACAUUGAGGGCAUUGAGUCAGGCAAAGUGUGUACAGUUCAGCUAGAGUCAUUAUGGCAUGACAUGGUGCAUGAGUACAAAACAGUUGCAAAUACAGCUGCAGUUAAUUCAGCUAAGUAUUUUCACCAGUCGACAAGAAUCAACAUUGACUAUUUUUGCAAGUGGUGAACUUAUAUGGGCAAUAGGAUGCAACUGUCCUGUCUUACAGGAACUGAGUAUAUAUGUAGACACAUCAGACAGAAGAAAAUACUCAGCUCACUUUGAAGAAAAAUUUUUAGAUGGAUUAUCUGCAUUGUAUGGGCAUAGAAAGUAUACUCAGACAUCUUUUCGAGGAAAACCAGUUGGAUGCCCUCAGAUUCGAAGUAUAAUUAUGCCAACACUUCAGAUUCAAGAAAAAAUGGAGGAAUGCUCAGGCAAACUACUCUGUUACUUACACCAUCUUGAAGUAUUAAGAAAUGUUGGGACAACAGGUUCUAUUGUAGCCAUGUUUAAAGAGAAAGACUACAUUUGCAGACCACUAUCACUAACUUAUGUGGAUGAUGCUCGAGCACCAGAGACUUUAGAUUUAGUGUGCAGACAUUUUGGUGUUGAUAUAAAAAAACUUUUAUCCAACGUUACCAGUGUUAGAUUUUGGAAGACUCAUUGUGGAAUGAGACUUUUGCUUAAUUUCCCUCUGUUGAAAGAAUUAGAACUAUUGACAAUAGAAGAUGCUGAGCUAGAGUUUGGCAAUAACUUUGCCAAACUAACGCAUUUCAGAGGCAACUUUCGCUGGGCUGAGAAGAGACUGGCAGAUUUCUCUCGGAAAGUUCCUCGCUUAGAAACAAUAUUCUUCCUGUGUGGCUCCUUGUUUAAACGUAAGACCAAGAAGACCAGAGAGAUAAAGUCAUUCCCUAAGGCACGUGUUGUUAAAUUCUACCAGCUAACACACAUUGAAUCUGAUCCUGUCAUUAACUUCUUGAAGAGCACCAAAGUCCUCACUCACUUAUUCUUUGAAGAUAAUGAUAAGAGAAUCAGAGAUAAAAAAAAACUCCUAUAUUUGAGGCAAUAAACGACAAAGCCAUUGCCUCUGUUGCCCUUUCCCUGAAGAACUUGGUUUGCUUUCAUGCCCACGUUCGAGGAUUCCGCGGGGUUUGUAAGUUUUCCCUGACUGAAAAGAGUGUCCACAGUCUUCUUGCCAAUUGUCAAAAUUUGACUGAUUUGGGAAAUUUAUUUAUCUGGGAGAUUCCUUACCAAAAUGUUCUGGCCCUAAAGAAACAGGCAAAGGAGGGGAACUGGGAAAUAGGUUUUACACCACAUGAUGAUGUGUAGAUUGAUAUGCAAGGAAAUCAUUGAAUUUUAAAACAACAUUCUAAUUGUAGAUUAUUCAGCACAUAUAAGUACUUGACACAAUAAUUUAAUUAAGCCACUUAAGCCUCAGGUUUAUCAAUUUGACUCGUCCCAAGUCCCUAAGCAUAACUGGCUGCACAACUUUCCUUUUGGGUACAUUAUGAUUAGACUACCUUGGGCUACAGGCUUCAAAAUGUUGUUCAUAUGUUAUAACUGCAGAAUAAUGUUUAACAAAUUUAUUGUAAUAUUAUAACACCUUUUCUCUUUUAUAGGUUUGUAAAGUUAAGGAAAGUCAUUAGUGAAGUGGAUCUUACCAACAGUAUUCUAAAAUACAUAAACUUUAGCCUUUAUAUUUUGGUGAGGUAAGUACUUUAGAACAUCAGUGCAUGUAACUACAGUAGCCAAUGUAUUAUAUUUGUUAUUAUGAGAGAGAGAACUAAUAUUAUAUUAUAUUAUAUAUUGGGUAUGUUUAAGUGUCUUUACAGGAAAUGUAUUAACAGAAACUAUGUGUAUGAUGGAUGUUGGUGUUCUCCUAGCAUAAGCCACUGAUAGGGCUGUUGUGUAAACUUACUCCAGAAUUGAAUAAUAAAUGUGUGGGACAACAUUUAUUAAUUCUUUUACACAUAGAUGACUCCACUUGUACUUAAAGUGGGCAUGGCAUGUAUGUACAUGCUAUGCCCAUCAACUUUGUUAAAAUUAUAGUUUGUAAAGGGGUACUAAGUACAUUAAGAACUUGUAAUAGAAUAUCUGUUUCAUUUUGAGCUUGUGUAUUUAAUGUCAAAUGUUUUAGCUGUACAAACAAUGAUUUGACGAUGAUCUGCAAGUGAUCUUACAGAAGCAGAUCUGUUGUUAUUAGACAGAAAUAAUUCAGAUAGAUUACAUUAAUUUAAGGCUCAUUUUUGUUUGUAUACAUUUUGUACUUAUAAAUUAAGUAUUAGGAGAUUUUUUACAUUAGUGUGUAAAAAGACUUUGAAGAUGGAAAAGUUUUAUAUAUUUUUACCGAUAUCAGUGAAUGUUACUGUUAAUACUGUGUGCUAUUUGGCUGUGAAUUUAUGCAUAUUUGUGUCCUAAUGUUAAUGAUGCUACAAAUUUCUACUGUUUGCAAUUAUUUUUUCAUAAAAUGAAACAAAUAAAGCUUUUGAUAACU